This is a long non-coding RNA of Esox lucius (northern pike), 778 nucleotides long. RefSeq lists it as uncharacterized. Lineage: Eukaryota; Metazoa; Chordata; Actinopteri; Esociformes; Esocidae. The record is from RefSeq and is a predicted model, not a curated record. The transcript has 9 exons.
AUGAUUACCAUAUUUAGGAAAGUUGUCUAACAGGAAUUAGUCCACUACUUUCUAUGUAUUCUCUAGUCUACAACCUAUGAGUCUGAGAUUGUUGUGUAGUUUUCUCUCCUGUCUUAGAUGGAUCCUCUAUACCUGUCCUGGUUGGAGUUGUUGUGGGUCUGGUUGUUGCUGGUUUUCUCCUGGUUGUUCUGCUGGUUCUUGGAUGUCGAUAUAAAAACAGCAAAGAUUCCUGUUGUAAUAGAACAUCCUUAUCUCCCCAGACCCAGAUCACCAACCAGGAUCCCCAGCAGGAUCUACUGCAGCAAGAUGGCGCGAACAUCUAUGAAACAAUCAAUCCAUCAGACAACAAGGCUAAAGGUGAUGUGACAUAUUCCCUGAUUCAACUCAACCAGCUGAAAAAGAAAAGAAAAGGAAAUACAAUCUACUCAGAGGUGAAAACAGGGAAAGCUACAGAAUCUAGGAUUGUUGAAGAAAACUAUGCACAGAUUGACCUCAACAGGAAGGCCAAUAAGAAAAGAGGAUCAACACCCCGACCAGAGACAGAACCAGUCUAUUCUGAAGUAAUGCCAGGCACAGCUCCCAGUACUGUCAGACCAAAUCACAUCUAUUGAAAUGGGUCCUUGAGGGACAAUGAAGCCACCAGAGGACCUUGACGUUUGCACACCCUCUCCAUGUUGCCCUCAGCAGUGUACAGCAGAGUGACAAUGUGCGCACACACACAUGCUUGCACACGCUUGCUCACACAUGCUUGCACACACAUGCACACACACACACACGC